GAAGCCUGUGGCAGGCUAGGCCAAGCUCCACUUCACGAUCUGAAUCUGAGACAAGUGGGCUAAGCCCAUCAACCUGCUGACCAAGUAGAUCAGUACAGAGGAUCAGACCUGGUGGUAAAGAUGCAGAAACCCUAUGCCUUCCACGCCAGCUUCACAGUGGUGGAUAUGGAGGAACAGCUACAGGACAUCCACGCUACAUGGAGCUAGAACAGGGAAGAACUUGUACUUCUGAUGGGCAUGACAAACAUCACAACAAACUAAAGUGCCAAGAUGGAGGCCUCUGACAAAGGCCCAGAAUAAUCCUUUGAGGUGGAUCAACAUCUCUGUCAGCUUCCAUGUGCAGUCUUUGUAAUGGCUGUACCUAUUAGUCAACUUGACUGUAUCUGGAAUUAACUACAAUCUAGAAAUGGAGGGCAGACUUGUUAUCCAGAUCUUGAAACUGGAAGACACGGGCUUCUGACCUGGAUCUUGAUGUGGGGUUACACACAUCUUUAAUCCCUGGAAACAUAGGAAAGCAGAUCUCUGCGUUAGCAAGUUCCACAUCUAGUCGUGGUGGUACACACCAUUAAUCUAGGUAAUGCCUUCUGCUGGAUACCUACAUAAGAAUAAUUGAAGAAGGAAGGUUUUCUUCUUUGCCUGCUUGCCUUUAUUUGCCAGCAUAUCUGCUGGAACCUACUUCUUCAGGACUCCAGUUUAUACAGCCUAGCUGAAAAACAGCUGAAACACCUAGCCUCAUAGGACUGUGUAACUACACGUUUCUUGGACUUCCCAUUCACAGCUGCUCAUUGAUUAGUUGGACUACAGACCAUAAGUUAUUCCAAUAAUUUACCUAAAUAUAUACAUAUAUUCCAUAGGUCUUGUGCCUCUAGAGAACCCUGACUAAUACAGUGUUCAAGGGGAAGACAUACAACCAUCUGCAUGUCAUCUUCCAGGGCAUCAAUGGCAAGAUACAUGCUGGCAGCCUCAAACUCAUGGACUAUUGGGAGAACAUGCUGCAAUAGUUGCCUGCACACAUGGUCAGGGCCAGGCUAUGUGAGCCCCUUCCAGUAUGCUCUGUUGCAGAAGCAGUUCAAACUCAAGCAGGAGCAGGUUGUGAUGUUCUCAAUCCUUAAAUCUGAGCCUGAAGAACUGACCCCUAGACCUGGCCCUUCAAUGGACCCCAAGGCAUCUGAGGGGGAUUCUGGUAACAGGAGAGGUAGAAGCAGAAGCCAAGGCAGAAGGCAAAGAGGUGCUGAUUGAGGAGGACCUGAUCCAGCAGAGCUUGUCAGUCUAUGACACCAGGUAAUACAGCUGAUGGCUGGGCAAGGCACAGGAGGUGCUGCUGCAUGCAUACCUUCUGGAGCCUCAAUAGGCCCUUCUGACCCUACAGAUGUAGUGUCAGCAGCUCCACACCACAGACAACAUUAGCAAGAGUACCAAGGGCAAAGGUCAGGACUAAGAGCAGUUCAGACUGGAGAUGCCACCAGGCGGCCAUGUCUACCUGUACAAAUGCUAGCUGCACGCAAGCCUAGCUUCUUCGACUGUGUACACAUCUGUGUCAUGUGGAACAAGUAUAAGUAAAAGCACUAUGAUUUGAACAACCGCCUGUCUAAUAAUGUUCAGGCCUACAAGUUCAACAUCUUCUGAACUCAUCUGCAGUCACACCACGCUGGAGUAUUUCUUGGAGGCCUACCUGGUAAACCAGGACUUUUGCACCCUAGGCUUUGAUGCUGGUCUGCCCUAUGAGGACAUGGCCUUCAAGUUUGUUAGUUGCAAGUGAGAGUACUCAUACUGCUUUGCCAGUUUGCCAAUUGCAUCUUCCAGCUCUGAUUCCACUUCAAGUGCUACUGCUUCCUUAGGUGAUGUCCAUGCUGGGCUGGCCGAGGCCUAGACGGCUCCUGGGGAGGAGGCCCAAGGGUACCCAGACACAACCUCUGGCUCCAGUCACCAGCAAUGUGCCAGCCAAGACCCCUCUUGAUUCCUGCCAUCAGAAGAGGAUUGUAACUCUUUCUCUGAAAGGACUGCUUUGGGUGGUAGACAUAUCUUGUUUUCAUGGACUUGCUCAGCAGUAGAAACCCAUGUCAUUUAGAUGAAAUAAAUAGGUUAUUCUAAGUUAAAAAAGAAAAGAAGUUUGAAAUCUCUCAAGUGUGUUUUUAUAAUGUUAAAAUAAAGUACCUUUUUUAAAAACAAAAAAAAGAAAG
This 2180-nucleotide long non-coding RNA is filed under the name Mus musculus (house mouse). RNAcentral describes it as "long non-coding RNA chr14:87160004-87162184". Lineage: Eukaryota; Metazoa; Chordata; Mammalia; Rodentia; Muridae. The record is from RNAcentral.